RNAcentral lists this ribosomal RNA (512 nucleotides) under uncultured Entrophospora. RNAcentral describes it as "SSU rRNA". It matches the Rfam family "Eukaryotic small subunit ribosomal RNA", at positions 569 to 1074 of the family's 1831-position model. The record is from RNAcentral. Lineage: Eukaryota; Fungi; Glomeromycota; Glomeromycetes; Entrophosporales; Entrophosporaceae.
AGCAGCCGCGGUAAUUCCAGCUCCAAUAGCGUAUAUUAAAGUUGUUGCAGUUAAAAAGACUCGUAGUUGAAUUUCGGGAUUGACGUGACGGUCGUGCCUUAAGGGGCGUGAACUGUCGCCGUUGAUUUCUCACCUCCUGGAGAAGCUCGAUGUCCUUAAUUGGAUGUCUUGUGGAACCAGGACCUUUACCUUGAAAAAAUUAGAGUGUUUAAAGCAGGCAUUUUGCUCGAAUACAUUAGCAUGGAAUAAUAGAAUAGGACGGCAUGGUUCUAUUUUGUUGGUUUCUAGGAUCACCGUAAUGAUUAAUAGGGAUAGUUGGGGGCAUUAGUAUUCAAUUGUCAGAGGUGAAAUUCUUGGAUUUAUUGAAGACUAACUAACUGCGAAAGCAAUUUGCCUAAGGAUGUUUUCAUUAAUACUAAGAACGAAAGUUAGGGGAUCGAAGACGAUCAGAUACCGUCGUAGUCUUAACCAUAAACUAUGCGACUAGGAAUCAGACGAUGUAAUUUUUAAUG